UGUUCCCCCUGAAGGUAAUCCUUAGGGCAGAAUAGGAUUAGCUUGUUCUGAGGUACCUUUGGGCGGUAACAGUUCACAGAUUUCUCAAAAUGGGGGAAUUGUGAGAGAUAGAACUCCAUCUUGUAUAUCCUAUAUCAAAGAAGAUUACUGCUU
Molecule: long non-coding RNA, 153 nt
Organism: Bufo bufo (common toad)
Lineage: Eukaryota; Metazoa; Chordata; Amphibia; Anura; Bufonidae
Exons: 3
Source: RefSeq, a predicted model, not a curated record